UGGGCUGUUUGUCGAGCCGUUUAAAAGCCAUGACAUGUUAACAAGAGUGAGGAUAUUUACGGAAAACGCUGACCUCCGGCGCGGCUGAAUUCGGUGGUUUGAUGCAUCAUGCAGGACUCGGUCAUGUGUGAAGGAGGGACACACUCGUCUGCACCGGGCGAAAUGGACAACUGACAGUCGUUUCCAUGGAGAGGUUCGAGGUGACGUGCUGUAGCACUCUCUUGCGGUCGUAUUGGAGGUCAGCUCAUGGUCGUAACGGCUAAAUGUGCGUACGGCUUUGCUGUUUACAACAUGGAGAAAACAAAUAACUUCACUGCUGUUUGUGGCUGUUAAAGUCCGACUAAAAUUAUUAUUAAAAUGUUAUUAAAUGUUAUUAUUAAAAUCUGUACAUUAUA
Long non-coding RNA from Thunnus maccoyii (southern bluefin tuna), 395 nucleotides. RefSeq lists it as uncharacterized. The record is from RefSeq and is a predicted model, not a curated record. The transcript has 2 exons. Lineage: Eukaryota; Metazoa; Chordata; Actinopteri; Scombriformes; Scombridae.